This is a regulatory RNA element of Corynebacterium maris DSM 45190, 106 nucleotides long. It matches the Rfam family "mraW RNA". Lineage: Bacteria; Bacillati; Actinomycetota; Actinomycetes; Mycobacteriales; Corynebacteriaceae. The record is from Rfam.
CCGCGGAGCGCGUGUACGGACUCUGCUCGAGGCCGGGUGCUCUGGUGUACUUCCCCGACAUCAGAUCCCCGCUUCGGGCAGAGCCCUAUACGCGCCCCAGUGGACC